AACCAGUCCUCAUGGCCCACCAACAGUUCAGGAUCUCUGUAUUUCCCUGUUUUAUUCCAAUGGAGAUACUAAAAAAAAAAAAAACCUGGACUGUUGGUGGGUCUUGAGGACUGGUUUG
Molecule: non-coding RNA, 118 nt
Organism: Pelobates cultripes (western spadefoot toad)
Lineage: Eukaryota; Metazoa; Chordata; Amphibia; Anura; Pelobatidae
Source: the annotation of a GenBank genome assembly